Long non-coding RNA from Cyprinus carpio (common carp), 3940 nucleotides. RefSeq lists it as uncharacterized. The record is from RefSeq and is a predicted model, not a curated record. NCBI's taxonomy places the organism in Eukaryota, Metazoa, Chordata, Actinopteri, Cypriniformes, Cyprinidae.
AAUGAGUUAUAACAAAAAUAAAUCAAAAACCCAAGCCUAUUUCUGUCUCUUGUUUACGAAUUAGAGGCGAGACUCUGAUGUAAAAAUAAAAAAUGUCGUAAAAUAUAUGCUCUAUAAAUUAUAACAGUUCGCCAGUUUUGCAACAAAUAUUUAAUGAAAACUAGCAUUUUUUAUUAUUAUCAUUAUUAGACAUUACUGAAUAAUAAUAAUAAUAACAAUAAUAUUGUGGCCGGGCUUUUGUUGUUGCAGCCCCAAAGCUUUGGAAUAACUUUCCUCUAAAUGUUAGGCAGGCCCAAACAUUUGCUGUUUUUAAAUGCAGUCUUAAAACUUAUUUUUAUGCUCUGGCAUUUAACUCAGCUUGUGAGCUGUUUUUAUGUAUUUGGUUAGUGUUAUUGUUUGUUAUUUAUCUUAUGUGUAAAAUUAUUUUACUUUGGUUAUGCUUGUACAGCACUUUGGAAAACAAUUGUUGUUUUAAAAAAGUGCAUUAUAAAUAAACUUUGAUUUGAUUUGAUAAUAAUCUUCUGUCAUCUUUACGAAGUCUCUCGUUUCUUUCCGACUUGAGACCCCUCUGAUGUAAAAAAAAAAACAAACAAAAACAUAACAGAAAAAAAAAACAAAAACAAAAAACAAACAAAUAACAGGAAAAAUAAGUCCUAACUAAAACCAGACACAGAAAUGUUCGGGGGCAUAUUUGACAGGCCUCGCACUGCUGGUCCGAAACACAGAAGUUGUUACAGGCUUUCUCCUUUUAAUAGUAAACUUGCAGAUCAAGAAGUCAUCUGUGGCCAACAAAUCAUCCCCCUGGGGUAUCACAUGAAUGUGUACACUAUGUGAAUUCUCCUUCAACUUGAAUAAUGGCAAAGAAGGCCUGGUUUUGUUACCUCUGUGUUUUUAGUUUUCAGUCCAUUCCAUUGUAUUUCAAACCCCCAUGAUCUGCGAAUAAACAAAAACUGGUAAACAAUAAAAAAGGCGGUAUUAAUACAUAUAGCAUGUGUACAUGAGCAAUCAAAUCACACGAGUGUAAACUUUGAAUAAGAGCACGUCACUUCUAGGUAAAUUUACACAGAAAUUAAAUUUCGGUGCCCCUAGUUUUGGACAUAAUGCUAGGCUGAAUUUUUAUAGCGCGCUGAUCGAUAUCUUGGUAAAAUAAUCAUUUUUUUUUUUUUUUUUUUUUUUUAAACUAGCGGGGCAGUGAAAUCUUUGCUUUGUUGCUAAAGUCAACAGUGACAGAGUUUGAGCUCAAAUAAAUGCCGCGAGGCUUCCAGCUCUGUGCAGAAGGCAGCGGGAGAGGCUCCGAUACCGUUCUGCAGGCUCCAGAUUUCAAUCAAUCAGCAAUCAUCUUCACCGUCGUGCCAUGCCCCUUCAUUUGGCAACUGCUGGUUCAACCCUUUCCAUCAGCCACGUUCACCUGCAGCUACCCUCAGUCACGUCUGACCUGGAUGCAUGAGCAAGAUAACAUUCACAUCUGCAACGUCAAGAGAGAGGGGCACAAGGAAGCCUGACAUUAAUGAUUAACUGCACUAAGAGCCCCUGCUUUUGUAUUCCCAUGGUGCCGGGGCUAUCUGCCGAUCAUGUGACCUGCACCGAGAAGAUUGGGGGAGUGAGCGCAAAAGCAAACACAGGUGUUUGGGCUGGAGUUGGUCGGCGCUGUUAGGGACAACUGCAAACACAGGCUUGCCAUGCCUGAAGAUGUGAACGGCCGCCCACACCAACAGGACAGCCAACCGGAGUCACCGACUCAACGCUCUCGGCCUUGCUUUUCUCUGAACAAUUAAGGCUCUUCAUUGGCCUAUUAAAGUCUGCUCUUUGAGUACAGUUUGACCUAAGGAGCUAUGGAUUCUUAAUUAGUCAUAAAUAGGCAUAGGCUUAAAUAAAAAUAAACAAAGCCUUUUUGUAAAUAAAUAAAUAAACAUCAUGAACAUAAAAAAAAUGCUUACUUAAUGCAGCAAAAUGUGGUAAAAUUAUUGAAACUCAUAUGAGGUCUCUCAACAUUUUUAUGUUCAGAUAGAAUCCAGUGACAAUCACACGGUUUACAAGAGACUUGUCUGGUUUGUUCAUCUAAAAGUCAACUCAUUGUAAGCUAGUUUCGAGUUGAUUGAGAGAUUGAAUUAUUUUCACAUAAUUGGCUUAACUAAUUUUUAAUGCAAUCGCAAUUAAAUGUUUUAAUCUACCAAAUACACUCCUUUUGUUAAUUUAAGCUGUGUUUAAUGUAAAAUCAUUUAAGAAACAGCAUAGCAUAUUUGAUGUAAACAAUGUAAAUGAAGUUGAAGGAGCACAAAGCUUCACAGUAUGUGCAGAGGGACAUUUACCCACCUGUCUCUGCACAUUGCCACAGUACUGCAAGUUAAACAUAAAAAUAAAAAGUAGGAAAAAGGAGUUGGGGCAUUAUUAUUUAAUAAGUUUAAUUAGUCAGGUGCACAUGCUUGUUCGCAGGUAUAAAGUACACAACAGUUAAUCUAACCAUAAUUAUUAAGGGUUAUAGUUAAGAAGAUGAUAAAGCCAAAAUACCUUUAUUGUCAUGUUAAUCAUCGCAACAUAUAUUUAGAGCUUGCAGGUCUCUGAUUGAUAAUAAAUUGCAUUAAAUUUGGUAAUUUGUCGAGUUAAGUGAACUAUCACCAUGAUGCCAUGAAAGAACCAUUUUGGGUUCACAAAGAAACUGUCAGAAAACAGUUCUUAAAAGAAUCUUUUUAUUUUCUUAGCGUGAAUUAUUAUUAUUAUCAUUUAAUAAUCUAAAGAACUUUUUUAAACUGUAAAGAUCAUUUUGUGUAAUGCAAAGACUCCAUGGAUGUUAAAGGUUCUUCAUAAAAUCAUAGAUACCAAUAAAGAACCUUUAUUUUUAAGAGAGUAUAUGAAGCACUGAACGCCACAUAAGGGACCCUGUGAACUCAACUGGAUGCGACCGUCCCCCAAGCGUAUCAGUGCUCUGGGUCGGGUGACAGUAUAUGUGCCUCUUGUUGCAAAACAGACAGAUUCUGUUUUACAUAUAUUAAUAAUAUUAAUAUUUGUCAGUCAGUCAAGCAAACACUUUAAAUAAUCAAGAGGGGUAAUGAGGUUUUGACGGGGGAAAGGUGUUGGGGGCAAAAACACACACACACACACACACACACACACACACACACACACACACACACACACACACACACACACACACACACACACACACACACACACACACACACACAAUAAUAAUAAUAAGAUAUAAUAAUAAUAAUAAAAUAAAAUAAAAAAACUAUAUAAAAUAGAACAAAAAACAGACAAAAAAGGUAAGGGAGAAUACAAAAGAGGCAAUGAAUUUUUGACAUUUACUAGAAAUAUAACUGGGUAUUUAAAUUUGAUAUUUCUAUUUCUGUCAAACUUGCUAAGUCUAAGACACUACGAAAAAAGCAAUAUUUCUAAUCUGAGACAAUAUAUGGAAAACCCAAAAAAUUUCCAAAAAGUAGGCCUAUUUGAAAUGCACAUUAAUGAAUAAUAAUAAUAAAAAUCUUCUAAGGACUAAAAUUAUACUAGGAACAAAUAUUAAACUAUAGAUCAAUCUGUACUGUAUUUUGAGGCAGAUGCAUUCAUCAGAUCACUGCUUUGAAGGAUUUAAAGCAUCAGCUUUGUAGGCAUUGUCUCACUCCAACGAGAUAUGUGUCCAUUGUGGGCUGAAAGUGAGCUAAUCAAAGUGAGCCGGCAGCAAUAAGCUGCAGAUGAACGGUGCUUUGCUCAAUUGAGCUUUUGAUGUUGCAGACACAAUGCAACAUGUGAAAAGAGCAAGUAUCCUAAGAAGGUUUUUUUUUUGUUGUCUGGCUCCACACCUAUAAUGAGGUCACACAGCAGCCUGCGCUAAAGCUGUCUAGUGUAUUCAUUCCCAUGUUAAAAGAUGCCACCAAUACACAAACUUAGGAAAAGAAGGAAUUUAAGAAUUUUUUCUGGUGUCAAACUGGCGAUCUGGUAAAUC